GGCGUCACGUGACUAGCUGCGCUGGUGCACGCAGCCGGGAGGGGCGGGCUCCUUCCCCUGGCAAGCCGGAAGCUCCGCACCUACACUUGGUAGAAUGCACCGGUGAAGCUAUCUGGUCCUGCGCUUUUCUUUGUGCCCCAGCCCGGCCCUUGCAGCUGCAGAGAUGUUGAUGCCUAAGAAGAACCGGAUUGCCAUUUAUGAACUCCUUUUUAAGGAGGGAGUCAUGGUGGCCAAGAAGGAUGUCCACAUGCCUAAGCACCCGGAGCUGGCAGACAAGAAUGUGCCCAACCUUCAUGUCAUGAAGGCCAUGCAG
This 313-nucleotide long non-coding RNA is filed under the name Homo sapiens (human). RNAcentral describes it as "HSALNT0353406". The record is from RNAcentral. Lineage: Eukaryota; Metazoa; Chordata; Mammalia; Primates; Hominidae.